This 229-nucleotide ribosomal RNA is filed under the name uncultured bacterium. RNAcentral describes it as "partial 16S ribosomal RNA". It matches the Rfam family "Bacterial small subunit ribosomal RNA", at positions 568 to 796 of the family's 1533-position model. The record is from RNAcentral.
UGCGUAGGCGGUCUUGUCCGUCAGGUGUGAAAGCUCGGGGCUCAACCCCGGAAGUGCACUUGAAACAGCAAGACUUGAAUACGGGAGAGGAGAGAGGAAUUCCUGGUGUAGAGGUGAAAUUCGUAGAUAUCAGGAGGAACACCGGUGGCGAAGGCAUCUCUCUGGACCGAUAUUGACGCUGAGGCGCGAAGGCGUGGGGAGCGAACAGGAUUAGAUACCCUGGUAGUCC